Molecule: ribosomal RNA, 390 nt
Filed under: uncultured bacterium
Lineage: Bacteria
Description: bacterial SSU rRNA
Rfam family: Bacterial small subunit ribosomal RNA
Source: RNAcentral
GACGAACGCUGGCGGCGUGCUUAACACAUGCAAGUCGAGCGGUAAGGCCCUUUCGGGGGUACACGAGCAGCGAACGGGUGAGUAACACGUGGGUGACCUGCCCUCAGCUCUGGGAUAAGCCUGGGAAACCGGGUCUAAUACUGGAUAUGACUCCAUGACGCAUGUUGUGGGGUGGAAAGCCUUGUGCGGCUGAGGAUGGGCCCGCGGCCUAUCAGCUUGUUGGUGGGGGAUGGCCUACCAAGGCGACGACGGGUAGCCGGCCUGAGAGGGCGACCGGCCACACUGGGACUGAGACACGGCCCAGACUCCUACGGGAGGCAGCAGUGGGGAAUCUUGCGCAAUGGGCAAAAGCCUGACGCAGCGACGCCGCGUGAGGGAUGACGGCCUGGU